Molecule: ribosomal RNA, 253 nt
Filed under: uncultured bacterium
Lineage: Bacteria
Description: partial 16S ribosomal RNA
Rfam family: Bacterial small subunit ribosomal RNA
Source: RNAcentral
UACGGAGGGUGCGAGCGUUGUCCGGAAUCAUUGGGCGUAAAGGGUGCGUAGGCGGCGCGGUAAGUCGGAUGUGAAAUCUCGGAGCUUAACUUCGAAACUGCAUUCGAUACUGCCGUGCUUGAGGACUGGAGAGGAGACUGGAAUUUACGGUGUAGCGGUGAAAUGCGUAGAUAUCGUAAGGAAGACCAGUGGCGAAGGCGGGUCUCUGGACAGUUCCUGACGCUGAGGCACGAAGGUCAGGGGAGCAAACGGG